RNAcentral lists this ribosomal RNA (360 nucleotides) under uncultured bacterium. Its description in RNAcentral is "bacterial SSU rRNA". It matches the Rfam family "Bacterial small subunit ribosomal RNA", at positions 28 to 414 of the family's 1533-position model. The record is from RNAcentral.
GAUGAACGCUGGCGGUGUGCCUAAUACAUGCAAGUCGAACGAGCUCUUCGGAGCGAGUGGCGGACGGGUGAGUAACACGUUGGUACCUACCCCGAAGUGGGGAAUAACUGCCCGAAAGGGUGGCUAAUACCGCAUAAUACCGCAAGGUUAAAGCAGUAAUGCGCUUCGGGAGGGGCCUGCGUCCCAUUAGCUUGUUGGUAGUGUAAUGGACUACCAAGGCAACGAUGGGUAGCUGGANCGAGAGGUUGACCAGCCACACUGGGACUGAGAUACGGCCCAGACUCCUACGGGAGGCAGCAGUAAGGAAUCUUCCACAAUGGACGAAAGUCUGAUGGAGCAACACCGCGUGCAGGAUGACGG